This is a long non-coding RNA of Catharus ustulatus (Swainson's thrush), 314 nucleotides long. RefSeq lists it as uncharacterized. The record is from RefSeq and is a predicted model, not a curated record. NCBI's taxonomy places the organism in Eukaryota, Metazoa, Chordata, Aves, Passeriformes, Turdidae. The transcript has 3 exons.
UUUACUGCAAUAAAAGAAAGAGUUUGAUCAGAGACCUGCAGGUGGCUCCUGUGACCAAUCACUCCAACAAGAAAUGAAACAACAUAAAGACUUUCUUAGACUUCUUUUAAGACUGUGGGUUGAGCUUCCACAAGGACCAUGCAAAUGAAAACAACUUCUGUGUGGGUCCUGGCUUGGAUUCAGGCAACUGGACAAUGAAAGAGGAAACAGACUGCACAUCUUGACUUUCCUCCAGCACUCAGCCUGAAGCAGAUGACAUCAAUCACAGAAAAACUGAGCUACACAGAAGAAUUUGGGGCUGAAGGGAGUCUGUG